GCCCGGGUGGCGGAAUUGGUAGACGCUCAGCACUUAAAAUGCUGUGACCACAAGUCGUGCGGGUUCGAGUCCCGCCCCGGGCA
RNAcentral lists this transfer RNA (83 nucleotides) under Candidatus Kerfeldbacteria bacterium RIFCSPHIGHO2_12_FULL_48_17. Its description in RNAcentral is "tRNA-Leu". It matches the Rfam family "tRNA". Rfam says of the family: Transfer RNA (tRNA) molecules are approximately 80 nucleotides in length. Their secondary structure includes four short double-helical elements and three loops (D, anti-codon, and T loops). The record is from RNAcentral. Lineage: Bacteria; Candidatus Kerfeldiibacteriota.